GGGGAUAUAGCUCAGUUGGUAGGGUGCUUGCCUCACAUGCACAAGGCCCUGGGUUCAAUCCCCAGCACCACCA
This 73-nucleotide transfer RNA is filed under the name Marmota marmota marmota (Alpine marmot). It matches the Rfam family "tRNA". Rfam says of the family: Transfer RNA (tRNA) molecules are approximately 80 nucleotides in length. Their secondary structure includes four short double-helical elements and three loops (D, anti-codon, and T loops). Further hydrogen bonds mediate the characteristic L-shaped molecular structure. tRNAs have two regions of fundamental functional importance: the anti-codon, which is responsible for specific mRNA codon recognition, and the 3' end, to which the tRNAs corresponding amino acid is attached (by aminoacyl-tRNA synthetases). tRNAs cope with the degeneracy of the genetic code in two manners: having more than one tRNA (with a specific anti-codon) for a particular amino acid; and 'wobble' base-pairing, i.e. permitting non-standard base-pairing at the 3rd anti-codon position. Lineage: Eukaryota; Metazoa; Chordata; Mammalia; Rodentia; Sciuridae. RNAcentral also lists the same sequence under 2 other names. The record is from Rfam by way of RNAcentral.